CAGAAUGGCAAAAGGAAAGAUAGCUUAAUUAUCAAAUGUCAAAACCAUUAAAAAGGAGAGAGGGAUAUUAAUACCUGUGGAAUUAAGAAUUUAGAAGGAAUUAGACAAAUUAUAAUAAGUCAUGAAAUCAAUUGACUUCCUAAGUGCUGCCAGAACAGAAAUGCUGCUGCCACUGCCAGGCAGAUGCUUUGAAAC
Molecule: long non-coding RNA, 195 nt
Organism: Gavialis gangeticus (Gharial)
Lineage: Eukaryota; Metazoa; Chordata; Crocodylia; Gavialidae
Exons: 3
Source: RefSeq, a predicted model, not a curated record